RNAcentral lists this ribosomal RNA (430 nucleotides) under uncultured bacterium. RNAcentral describes it as "bacterial SSU rRNA". It matches the Rfam family "Bacterial small subunit ribosomal RNA", at positions 354 to 776 of the family's 1533-position model. The record is from RNAcentral.
GUGGGGAAUAUUGGACAAUGGGCGCAAGCCUGAUCCAGCCAUGCCGCGUGUGUGAAGAAGGCCUUCGGGUUGUAAAGCACUUUUGUCCGGGAAGAAAAUCUCCGGGUUAAUACCCUGGGGUUCUGACGGUACCGGAAGAAUAAGCACCGGCUAACUUCGUGCCAGCAGCCGCGGUAAUACGAAGGGUGCAAGCGUUACUCGGAAUUACUGGGCGUAAAGCGUGCGUAGGUGGUUCGUUAAGUCUGCCGUGAAAGCCCCGGGCUCAACCUGGGAAUGGCGGUGGAUACUGGCGGACUAGAGUGCGGUAGAGGGUGGUGGAAUUCCCGGUGUAGCAGUGAAAUGCGUAGAGAUCGGGAGGAACAUCUGUGGCGAAGGCGGCCACCUGGACCAGCACUGACACUGAGGCACGAAAGCGUGGGGAGCAAACAGG